AAGUCGUAACAAGGUUUCCUUCCCGUUAAGAGAUUUAACUACUGAAGCCUUACACAGCGACUCUUAAAUCAACUGUGGAGUCUUACCUAGGUAAAGCAAUAACCGCUGAAAUGCUGUGAUCACGAAAGUGUACCAGCAGCCUAAUCCGAGGCCCACAGAUCAAGGUGGCGGUGGUCUUAGCUACACAGCUUUAGACUAUAAUAUGACCGGUUCUUAUCCUAAUGGUUAAGAGCUUUGACGUUCCGUAGGUGAACCUGCGGAAGGAUCAUUAAAGAGUUAGGGUCUUCUAGGCUCGAUCUCUAACCCCUUUGUAUAAAUACCAUGUUGCUUUGGCGGGCCCCGUCUUAACCGGACCGCCGGAGGUUAAAGCCCUCUGGCCAGCGCCCCUGUUCAGUAGGCCCCACAACAAAUUCUUUUUAAACCCAUGUAUCUUCUGAAAAUGUUAAUAAACUAAAAC
RNAcentral lists this unclassified non-coding RNA (457 nucleotides) under plant metagenome. Its description in RNAcentral is "partial contains small subunit ribosomal RNA and internal transcribed spacer 1". The record is from RNAcentral.